GACGAACGCUGGCGGCGUGCUUAACACAUGCAAGUCGAACGGAAAGGCCCUGCUUUUGUGGGGUGCUCGAGUGGCGAACGGGUGAGUAACACGUGAGUAACCUGCCCUUGACUUUGGGAUAACUUCAGGAAACUGGGGCUAAUACCGGAUAGGAGCUCCUGCUGCAUGGUGGGGGUUGGAAAGUUUCGGCGGUUGGGGAUGGACUCGCGGCUUAUCAGCUUGUUGGUGGGGUAGUGGCUUACCAAGGCUUUGACAGGUAGCCGGCCUGAGAGGGUGACCGGCCACAUGGGGACUGAGAUACGGCCCAGACGCCUACGGGAGGCAGCAGUGGGGAAUAUUGCACAAUGGGCGGAAGCCUGAUGCAGCAACGCCGCGUGCGGGAUGACGGCCUUGGGGUUGUAAACCGCUUUCGCCUGUGACGAAGCGUGAGUGACGGUAAUGGGUAAAGAAGCACCGGCUAACUACGUG
This 468-nucleotide ribosomal RNA is filed under the name uncultured bacterium. RNAcentral's name for it is "partial 16S ribosomal RNA". It matches the Rfam family "Bacterial small subunit ribosomal RNA", at positions 28 to 507 of the family's 1533-position model. The record is from RNAcentral.